UGCUCCUACGGGGCGCAGCAGUGGGGAAUUUUGGACAAUGGGCGCAAGCCUGAUCCAGCUAUUCCGCGUGUGGGAUGAAGGCCCUCGGGUCGUAAACCACUUUUGUAGAGAACGAAAAGACACCUUCGAAUAAAGGGUGUUGCUGACGGUACUCUAAGAAUAAGCACCGGCUAACUACGUGCCAGCAGCCGCGGUAAUACGUAGGCUGCGAGCGUUAUCCGGAUUUAUUGGGUUUAAAGGGUGCGCAGGCGGUCUGUUGAGUCAGCGGUCAAAGCCCGGGGCUCAACCCCGGCCCGCCGUUGAAA
RNAcentral lists this ribosomal RNA (305 nucleotides) under uncultured bacterium. RNAcentral's name for it is "bacterial SSU rRNA". It matches the Rfam family "Bacterial small subunit ribosomal RNA", at positions 334 to 632 of the family's 1533-position model. The record is from RNAcentral.